Molecule: non-coding RNA, 31 nt
Filed under: Mus musculus (house mouse)
Lineage: Eukaryota; Metazoa; Chordata; Mammalia; Rodentia; Muridae
Source: RNAcentral
UGAUACAUAAAAUGCUCAGGACCAUAAAUGG